AACGAACGCUGGCGGCGGGCCUCAUACAUGCAAGUCGAGCGCGAAAGUCCGCAAGGAUGAGUAAAGCGGCGCACGGGUGAGUAACACGUGGGUAAUCUACCUUUUGGAUUGGAAUAACCUGUCGAAAGACGGGCUAAUGCCAAGUAAGUUCUUUGGAACGUGGAGUUUUGAAGAAGAAAGAUGGCGCAAGCUAUCGCCGAAAGAUGAGCCUGCGUCCCAUUAGUUAGUUGGUGGGGUAAUGGCUUACCAAGACAAUGAUGGGUACCUGGUCUGAGAGGAUGACCAGGCACACUGGAACUGAAACACGGUCCAGACUCCUACGGGAGGCAGCAGUAGGGAAUAUUGCGCAAUGGACGAAAGUCUGACGCAGCCACGCCGCGUGAGUGAUGAAGGCCUU
This 397-nucleotide ribosomal RNA is filed under the name uncultured bacterium. RNAcentral's name for it is "bacterial SSU rRNA". It matches the Rfam family "Bacterial small subunit ribosomal RNA", at positions 29 to 418 of the family's 1533-position model. The record is from RNAcentral.